This is a long non-coding RNA of Xiphophorus couchianus (Monterrey platyfish), 776 nucleotides long. RefSeq lists it as uncharacterized. The record is from RefSeq and is a predicted model, not a curated record. The transcript is spliced from 5 exons. NCBI's taxonomy places the organism in Eukaryota, Metazoa, Chordata, Actinopteri, Cyprinodontiformes, Poeciliidae.
AUAGAAAAGAAGAAGAAAUGGCGGCGAAGUUUGAAUAAAGCGACCGAGAAAGACUUACGCAGGAGACAAUGGCACAGCUGUGAGUGAUUAAAUACAAAUGUAACCUUGAGCCAGGAGAGGAAUGAUCGCAUCGCCAUCUUAGGACACCGUUUGGUUUUUCCUCUUCACCUGAACUGGAACCUGAGACUGGAUACUGAACUGCUAAACCAGCCACUGUGACAGACUGGCGACCUGUCCAGGGUGUACCCCGCCUCUUGCCCGAAACGUUCGCUGGAGAUAGGCACCAGCACCCCUCCCGACCCCACUAGGGACUAGGGUGUACAGAAAAUUGAUGGCUGGAUGGACAAUUCAAGCCAGUCGUACCGGGCUUGGAGCAGUUCAUCUUUUCAGAUCUAUCAUUCACUGCCAUGGCAUACAGCAUCUCUGGAUUGACACUUCUGAUGAGCCGUGGGGGGCUUACGCUGCUGUCAAACAGACUCUUUGUGACAACUCGACACUUGUGGGUAUGUUCAGUCUCAAAGACCCGUGAAAGGAGAACACCAGUGCAGAAGAGAAUUGAUGCUGAAACACUGUCUUCACUUUUUUUUAGUUACUGUUUCAUAAUUUGCAUUGUGGAUUCGGAUAAAACAGAUUUUUUUAGUGCUCAGUACCAUUUGCUUUGGUCACACAGAAAUGUGCGUUUUAUUAACUUCUAUCAUCCCCAUCAGCUAUUGGUGUCUUGGUCUUCUCCCAAAUCUUCCUGACCUUCCUCAAAUAAACCUAUCAGCUGUAAUCAA